GGUUACUUAAGCAGGAUGUGAAAUCCCCGGGCUCAACCUGGGAACUGCGUUCUGAACUGGGUGACUAGAGUGUGUCAGAGGGAGGUAGAAUUCCACGUGUAGCAGUGAAAUGCGUAGAGAUGUGGAGGAAUACCGAUGGCGAAGGCAGCCUCCUGGGAUAACACUGACGUUCAUGCCCGAAAGCGUGGGUAGCAAACAGGAUUAGAUACCCUGGUAGUCCACGCCCUAAACGAUGUCGAUUAGCUGUUGGGCAGCUUGACUGCUUAGUAGCGAAGCUAACGCGUGAAAUCGACCGCCUGGGGAGUACGGUCGCAAGAUUAAAACUCAAAGGAAUUGACGGGGACCCGCACAAGCGGUGGAUGAUGUGGAUUAAUUCGAUGCAACGCGAAGAACCUUACCUGGUCUUGACAUGUACGGAACCCUCCAGAGACGGAGGGGUGCCUUCGGGAGCCGUAAUACAGGUGCUGCAUGGCUGUCGUCAGCUCGUGUCGUGAG
RNAcentral lists this ribosomal RNA (495 nucleotides) under uncultured bacterium. RNAcentral's name for it is "bacterial SSU rRNA". It matches the Rfam family "Bacterial small subunit ribosomal RNA", at positions 577 to 1071 of the family's 1533-position model. The record is from RNAcentral.